This 246-nucleotide unclassified non-coding RNA is filed under the name Hevea brasiliensis (rubber tree). Lineage: Eukaryota; Viridiplantae; Streptophyta; Magnoliopsida; Malpighiales; Euphorbiaceae. The record is from RNAcentral.
AAGAAGUACUCUUCAACAGUUGCCACAAUUUUCACAGGCAUUGCAUCCGCAGCAAUGUUUGGUCAUACUUUGACUAUGAAUUUUAUGUUGGGAAUUUCUAUUGUGUUUAUCUCGAUGCACCAGUUUUUUUCAUCCCUUUCAAAAGUCAAAGACGAACAGCUGAAUGGGGUGGUGGAACUGAUGGAUGUUCAAGACGACCACAGGUCAAAAGAUUCAUUCAUAAACAUGGCAGCUGGAGCAAAUGAA